This is a non-coding RNA of Ictidomys tridecemlineatus (thirteen-lined ground squirrel), 46 nucleotides long. The record is from Rfam. NCBI's taxonomy places the organism in Eukaryota, Metazoa, Chordata, Mammalia, Rodentia, Sciuridae.
CCAAAGGCUCUUUUCAGAGCCACCUACAGUUUUCCAUAGAAGAGCU